GGCCUUAUCGUCUAGCGGUUAGGACGUGGCGUUCUCAACGCCAAAAUAGGGGUUCGAUUCCCCUUGAGGCCACCA
Molecule: transfer RNA, 75 nt
Filed under: candidate division WWE3 bacterium
Lineage: Bacteria; candidate division WWE3
Description: tRNA-Glu
Rfam family: tRNA
About the family: Transfer RNA (tRNA) molecules are approximately 80 nucleotides in length. Their secondary structure includes four short double-helical elements and three loops (D, anti-codon, and T loops).
Source: RNAcentral